GGGGAUUUAGCUCAGCGGCAUAAGCGCCUGCCUUAAAAGCAGGCAGUCCCCA
This 52-nucleotide transfer RNA is filed under the name Cavia porcellus (domestic guinea pig). Lineage: Eukaryota; Metazoa; Chordata; Mammalia; Rodentia; Caviidae. The record is from Rfam by way of RNAcentral.